This is a long non-coding RNA of Oncorhynchus tshawytscha (Chinook salmon), 1003 nucleotides long. NCBI's taxonomy places the organism in Eukaryota, Metazoa, Chordata, Actinopteri, Salmoniformes, Salmonidae. The record is from Ensembl.
ACUGGCAUGUCAUUGGGAUAGUGAGAGGAGCAGAGCGGGUGGCGUGCCUGCAUUACUCCCUCAUCAAUAUGCGAUUAAUAAUGCAGCAGGCACAGACUGAGCAUUCUGUAGGGUUUCAGCCUGGUGUUUAGUUAACUACAUUCAUCAUGGAAUGGAUGGAUCAGUGUUGGGGUUGGAGUUGGGCUGGGAUGGCCUCAAACUGGGUUGGGCUGGGACUUGGUUGGGGUUGGGUUAGGGAUGGGCAAGGGUUGGGCUGAGCUGGGUUAGAGUUGUGUUGGGGUGGGUUGGGAUGGGUUGGGGUUUGGGCUGUGUUGGUGCUUGGGCUGGGCUGGGGUAGUGUUGUGGUUGGGUUGUGGCUGGGCUGGGCUGGCCAAAGGUUGGGGAUGGGUUGGAGCUGGGCUUGGAUUGGGGCUGAAGCUGGACUGGGCUAGGGUUGGGUUGUAUUGGGCUGAGCUGAGUUGUGUUGGUCUGGGUUAGAGUUGUGUUGGGAUGGUUUGGGGCUUGGGCUGUGUUGGUGCUUGGGUUGGGCUUGGCUACUGUUGUGGUUGGGUUGUGGCUGGGCUGGCCAAAGGUUGGGGAUGGGUUGGAGCUAGGCUAGAGUUGGGGCUGGGCUGGGCUGAAUCUGGGCUGGGCUAGGGUUGGGGCUGGGCUGAAGCUGGGCUGGGCUAGGAUUGGGGCUGGGCUAGGGUUGGAGCUUAGGCUGGGCUAGGGUUGGAGCUGGGCUAGGGUUGGAGCUGAGUUGGAGCUUGUCUGGUGCUGGGGCUGGGCUAGGGUUGGAGCUAGUCUGGUGCUGGGACUGGGCUCGGGUUGGGGCUGGGCUAGGGUUGGGUCUGUGCUAGGGUUGGGGCUGAGUUGGAGCUGCUCUGGUGUUGGGGCUGGGCUAGGGUUGGAGCUGGGCUAAGGUUGGGGUCGGAGCUGGGUAACCCUUCACUUCAACAGGACAGGCAUGCCUAGGGUUGCACAUUUAUGGUAAAUUUCUUAAAAUGCCCAGGUUUUCCAGCUG